Long non-coding RNA from Camelina sativa (false flax), 1148 nucleotides. RefSeq lists it as uncharacterized. The record is from RefSeq and is a predicted model, not a curated record. Lineage: Eukaryota; Viridiplantae; Streptophyta; Magnoliopsida; Brassicales; Brassicaceae.
CUAAAAUCGCUUAGUACCGCCAAUAUUUAGCCAAAUUUUUUCCAACCCGCCAACACUUAGCCGAAUUUUUUUGUUUGUGACAUAUUUAUUUUAAAAUAAAACAAUAUGUAUAAGAAAACCAACAACAUAAAAAAAAAAAAACAAAACACUUCAAGUCUCUCGCCAUCCUUCUCUUAACACUUUCUCUUAUCUUUCCCAAAAACCCUAGCUGCGUUUUUGCCUUACUUCACCACCAUUUCAAUGGUGACAUCAUCAGCUCUCUCUUCACUCUCUUUUCUAUUGGAUCUGGCGUUGUCCAGAAGGUGAAAUCGAGAAGUAGUAAAGUCGUGUUGGAGCCAGAUCUCCGGUUUACUUAGCCGCCGUUCUGGAAUACCUCGCCGCCGAGCUUGUAGUGAGAAACGACGAGGAGCUGAGUAACUUGUUUGGUGAUGUGAUGACUGCAAAGGUCUGGUUUUAGCCUAAUUUUGUUCAAAGGAAGUUCAAAGUUCACAGACAUGUGUACAUUCUAGCUUACGGAGAAGUGAGGAUUAAGGUUCACGUACGGAGGUUGAACUCACUCGUCCGCUGUAAAUAUUCUGUUCUGAUUUCGUUUUGCUUUUCUGAAAAUUUCAGACGGAGACGGUCGUGUUUCCGGUAACGAUGCUACAAAGUUCUUCGCCAUGUCAAAGCUUUCUCGCCAGGAACUCAAACAGGUUUGGCUUGUUGGGGAAUCAAAGCUACAUGGAUUUCUUGGCUUGGCGGAGUUCAUCAUUGCGAUGAAGCUCGUCUCAUUGGCACAAGAGGAACUUGAAAUUACUUUAGAUCUUCUGAAAGGUUCUGUUGACAUGAAGAGUGUUGAACUUCCAGUGUUGGAAGGACUGGAAAACGUGGUAUCUAACUAAGGUAUUGUGGAUUGCAAGGACCAGUUCCUGAUUUGACUAGGAUACAAGCACAAGAGGCCUCACUUGGGAAACGAAUGGAAGAAGCCUUUUUUGCUGGUUCAUUUCAGCCAAAACCAUAAUUUCUUAAUUGUGUAAGAUUUACUUCUUGUAGUUUUCUAACUUCUCUUGACCAGUGUUCUUUGUUUUCGUUAUCUUUUGUACUUGGGGUUGUAAUGAAUAUGACGUUAUGUAAUAUGAGUUUUGUUAAUGUAAUAUUAAUUGUAUGUA